Molecule: long non-coding RNA, 729 nt
Organism: Dermochelys coriacea (leatherback sea turtle)
Lineage: Eukaryota; Metazoa; Chordata; Testudines; Dermochelyidae
Exons: 4
Source: RefSeq, a predicted model, not a curated record
GAUUAUCAUAAAUCUGCAGAGAAGUGACAGUCAAACAGCCAUAAAGGAAACUUCUGUGAGUCAAGGAAAACAUCUCCAUGAAGAUAACCUGAGAAGAGGUGAUGAACAACUGCCCAGGAUCCUCUUCUCUCAAAAAGAAGCCACUCAAGAGUGACUCCAGUCUUGUCUAUACACAAACUUGCACCAGCAGGACUGGGAACAAAAAAUCAGCCUGGAGAUGUGGAGAGAUCAGUUGAAAACUUGGCUCACUUGCUGUCUUCCCCGGCCUUAGCUACACAGGAAUAGCAGCGCUGUCAAACACACCUGUGGAUUUCAAGCAAAGAAUUCCAGAAGAUCAGUGAUUGACAAGGAAAAAGUAAGGUUUCUCUGGAGAAUGUUCUUCGAUAUUAAGAACGUUUUAAAUAAUAUGUCUUGAAAACCCUUUCACAGAUCUUUCCAUAGAUUGCUAAAUUUUGUUUGGUUAAAUUGUUGUUGUUCCAUUUUCCUUUUGCAAACAAACUUUUCAUUAUAAAGAACUGCAUUUCCUUUCCCUUCAAACAAGAAAAUUUAAUUUGGUGCCUACAUGACUUUGACUAUUUGCAGCUUUGCAGCAUGGUUUUUCAUUUUAAAAAGGAAAUUGUUAGUUGGUAGGGUUGUUCUUGUAUUUGAAAUUUUAAAAUUUGGUUGCUCUAGGUGGGAUUUUGUUUGUCUUGUCUUCAUUUAUUUUAUAAAGACAAAAUGUGUAGUUUG